This 492-nucleotide ribosomal RNA is filed under the name uncultured bacterium. Its description in RNAcentral is "partial 16S ribosomal RNA". It matches the Rfam family "Bacterial small subunit ribosomal RNA", at positions 29 to 507 of the family's 1533-position model. The record is from RNAcentral.
AGUGAACGCUGGCGGUAGGCCUAACACAUGCAAGUCGAACGGCAGCACAGUAAGAGCUUGCUCGUACGGGUGGCGAGUGGCGGACGGGUGGGGAAUCCAGCGGAAUCUACUUUUUCGUGGGGGAUAACGUCGGGAAACUUACGCUAAUACCGCAUACGACCUACGUGUGAAAGCAGGGGAUCUUCGGACCUUGCGCGUCGGAAUGAGCCGAUGUCGGAUUAGCUAGUUGGGGGGGUAAGGUCCCACCAAGCCGACGAUCCGAAGCUGGUCUGGGAGGAUGAUCAGCCACACUGGAACUGAGACACGGUCCAGACUCCUACGGGAGGCAGCAGUGGGGAAUAUUGGACAAUGGGCGCAAGACUGAUCCAGCCAUACCGCGUGGGUGAAGAAGGCCUUCGGGUUGUAAAGCACUUUUGUUGGGAAAGAAAAGCAGCAGGUUAAUACCCCGCUGUUCUGACGGUACCCAAAGAAUAAGCACCGGCUAACUUCGUG